GAUGAAGAACGUAGUGAAAUGCGAUAAGUAGUGUGAAUUGCAGAAUUCAGUGAAUCAUCGAAUCUUUGAACGCACAUUGCGCCCUUUGGUAUUCCUUAGGGCAUGCCUGUUCGAGCGUCAUUUAAACCUUCAAGCUCAGCUUGGUGUUGGGUGACUGUCCGCUUCACCGCGGACUCGCCUCAAAAUUAUUGGCGGCUGGUACAUUGGCUUCGAGCGCAGCAGAAACGCGAACUCGGGCCCGUCGUAUUGGCUCCCAGAAGCUAUCUUCACAAUUUUGACCUCGGAUCAGGUAGGGAUACCCGCUGAACUUAAGCAUAUCAAUAAGCGGAGGA
This 332-nucleotide unclassified non-coding RNA is filed under the name soil metagenome. RNAcentral describes it as "partial contains 5.8S ribosomal RNA, internal transcribed spacer 2, and large subunit ribosomal RNA". The stretch from base 1 to 120 matches the Rfam family "5.8S ribosomal RNA", at positions 35 to 154 of the family's 154-position model. The record is from RNAcentral.